UACGUAGGUCCCGAGCGUUGUCCGGAUUCACUGGGUGUAAAGGGCGCGUAGGCGGUCAAGUGUGUCUCAUGUGAAAGCUCAGGGCUCAACUCUGAGAGUGCGUGGGAGACUACUUGGCUGGAGGACGGUAGAGGGAAGUGGAAUUCCCGGUGUAGCGGUAAAAUGCGUAGAUAUCGGGAGGAACACCAGUGGCGAAGGCGGCUUCCUGGGCCGAUCCUGACGCUGAGGCGCGAAAGCCAGGGGAGCGAACCGG
RNAcentral lists this ribosomal RNA (253 nucleotides) under uncultured bacterium. RNAcentral describes it as "partial 16S ribosomal RNA". It matches the Rfam family "Bacterial small subunit ribosomal RNA", at positions 524 to 776 of the family's 1533-position model. The record is from RNAcentral.